CAGAGGUCUCAAGCGUUGUUCGGAUUCAUUGGGCGUAAAGGGUGCGUAGGCGGUGGGGCAAGUCAGGUGUGAAAUCCCGGAGCUCAACUCCGGAACUGCACUUGAUACUGCUUUACUCGAGUACUGGAGAGGAGACUGGAAUUUACGGUGUAGCAGUGAAAUGCGUAGAUAUCGUAAGGAAGACCAGUGGCGAAGGUGAGUCUCUGGACAGUUACUGACGCUGAGGCACGAAGGCCAGGGGAGCAAACGGGAUUAGAUACCCCGGUAGUCCUGGCAGUAAACGGUGCACGUUUGGUGUGGGAGGAUUCGACCCCUUCCGUGCCGGAGCUAACGCGUUAAACGUGCCGCCUGGGGAGUACGGUCGCAAGAUUA
RNAcentral lists this ribosomal RNA (372 nucleotides) under uncultured organism. RNAcentral's name for it is "bacterial SSU rRNA". It matches the Rfam family "Bacterial small subunit ribosomal RNA", at positions 526 to 896 of the family's 1533-position model. The record is from RNAcentral.